AAAAGGUGGCUAUGCUACCGCUUUUGGAUGGGCCCGCGGCGCAUUAGCUAGUUGGUGGGGUAAAGGCUUAGCAAGGCAAUGAUGCGUAGCCGAACUGAGAGGUUGAUCGGCCACAUUGGGACUGAGACACGGCCCAAACUCCUACGGGAGGCAGCAGUAGGGAAUCUUCCACAAUGGGCGAAAGCCUGAUGGAGCAACGCCGCGUGGGUGAAGAAGGUCUUCGGAUCGUAAAACCCUGUUGUUAGAGAAGAAAGUGCGUGAGAGUAACUGUUCACGUUUCGACGGUAUCUAACCAGAAAGCCACGGCUAACUACGUGCCAGCAGCCGCGGUAAUACGUAGGUGGCAAGCGUUAUCCGGAUUUAUUGGGCGUAAAGGGAACGCAGGCGGUCUUUUAAGUCUGAUGUGAAAGCCUUCGGCUUAACCGGAGUAGUGCAUUGGAAACUGGGAGACUUGAGUGCAGAAGAGGAGAGUGGAACUCCAUGUGUAGCGGUGAAAUGCGUAGAUAUAUGGAAGAACACCAGUGGCGAAAGCGGCUCUCUGGUCUGUAACUGACGCUGAGGUUCGAAAGCGUGGGUAGCAAACAGGAUUAGAUACCCUGGUAGUCCACGCCGUAAACGAUGAAUGCUAAGUGUUGGAGGGUUUCCGCCCUUCA
RNAcentral lists this ribosomal RNA (653 nucleotides) under uncultured bacterium. Its description in RNAcentral is "bacterial SSU rRNA". It matches the Rfam family "Bacterial small subunit ribosomal RNA", at positions 202 to 842 of the family's 1533-position model. The record is from RNAcentral.